ACUAACCGAAAACCGAACCGGUUAACAGUAAUAACCCGUACCGUUAACCGGACCGGUAAACCGGUUAACCGAAUUAACCGGUUAAUUACAGAGCAGAUGAGAUCAGACAGAACCACCAGUUAAUUUGCUCGAUCUUCAUCAGUACAUCUCAUGUAUCUUCAAUUUUGGAAGUACGAAGGAGUGAUAAUAGCUCUCUGCCAAACCUACAAUCUUCUAUACAAUCAUCAAAUUUAGAAAAGCUUAUUAUGUGUAGAACCAUUAGUUCAGUUCCCACGAACAAAAAGUCAAUAUAUUUUGGCUAAUUAACAGAGGAUGCAAAAUACACAUAGGUAGAAGGUAAAAUCAAACCUUCCGCACGGGUUUGGCCUUGAUGGAGGCAUAUAUCACACAAAAUCAUUCAUAAUUCAGCCAUGGCAAAGGACAAUUUACACAAAAAUACAGCAACAAAAUGCGACAUAAAAAAUUUCAAACCCUAAAAAUUGAGGGCUUAAUUAAUUGAGGCGUCUACAAUGUGGGAUGGAGGGAAGACGCCGAUGGGAAGGGCAGGUCGCAGGCUCGCUCACACGCAGGCUGCCUGGGACUCGCUUUCUCGACCGCCGAUCCGCCGUCGUCGGAGCUCGGAGGCGAGUAAAGGCCGAAGGGACUCGCCGGUGGAUUAGCCGAGGAAAGAGGCGGAGGCGCUCAGGUGCGGUAGACCGGCGACGUGGGUAAGAUCCGCCAGCGGGAAUUGUGCGCCGGUGGGAACUGAGGAAAGGCAGCGACGUCGCGCGGCGCCGGUGGAUUAGCCGAUAAACAUCGCAGAUUUGGGGGAACAGGGGCUGGGGAAGGGAAAAGUCUGAAACUGGGGAAAUCGGUG
Molecule: long non-coding RNA, 856 nt
Filed under: Salvia miltiorrhiza (redroot sage)
Lineage: Eukaryota; Viridiplantae; Streptophyta; Magnoliopsida; Lamiales; Lamiaceae
Description: long non-coding RNA (SMIL_LNC002825)
Source: RNAcentral